CAAAGGUUUGGUCCUAGCCUUGAAGUCAGUUAUUACUUAAUAUACACAUGCAAGUAUCCGCCCCCCUGUGAAAACGCCCUUUAAUCCCCUCUAGGGACAAGGAGCUGGUAUCAGGCACGAAAAUCUGCCCAAGACACCUAGCUAUGCCACACCCACAAGGGAAUUCAGCAGUGAUUAACAUUGAGCAUUAGCGCAAGCUUGACUCAGUUAAAGUAAGAUAGAGCCGGCUAAUCUGGUGCCAGCCGCCGCGGUUACACCAUGUGGCUCAAAUUGACCCCUUCCGGCGUAAAGCGUGAUUAAAGUUAUUUAUUAAUAGAGUUAAACUGAAACUAAGCUGUGACACGCCUGUUUAUCAAGAAACCCAAAAACGAAAGUUACUCUAACUUAAUCAACUUGACUUCACGACAGCUGGG
Molecule: ribosomal RNA, 413 nt
Filed under: Bufotes viridis (European green toad)
Lineage: Eukaryota; Metazoa; Chordata; Amphibia; Anura; Bufonidae
Description: partial 12S ribosomal RNA
Source: RNAcentral